RNAcentral lists this unclassified non-coding RNA (296 nucleotides) under uncultured fungus. RNAcentral's name for it is "partial contains small subunit ribosomal RNA, internal transcribed spacer 1, and 5.8S ribosomal RNA". The stretch from base 1 to 73 matches the Rfam family "Eukaryotic small subunit ribosomal RNA", at positions 1759 to 1831 of the family's 1831-position model. The record is from RNAcentral. Lineage: Eukaryota; Fungi.
ACAAACUUGGUCAUUUAGAGGAAGUAAAAGUCGUAACAAGGUCUCCGUAGGUGAACCUGCGGAGGGAUCAUUACUGAGUUCGUGCCCCGUUAGGGGUAGAUCUCCCACCCUUGUGUAUUCCUACCUGUGUUGCUUUGGCAGGCCGCGAGGCUUCGGCCUGGCCACCGGCUGCAUGGCUGGUGCGCGCCUGCCAGAGGAUCUCUUAACGCUGGUUAUCAGUGUUGUCUGAGUCUUUAGAAAAAGUUAAAACUUUCAACAACGGAUCUCUUGGUUCUGGCAUCGAUGAAGAACGCAGC